ACUCAACUAAUCAGCAGGCACUAACACUGGAAUAAUAUAUAGAUCAGCAUGGCCCCUGAGCAAGGGUGCAAGGACAUCUGUAAUUUGUUCCAAUUUUUU
Molecule: small nuclear RNA, 99 nt
Filed under: Meriones unguiculatus (Mongolian gerbil)
Lineage: Eukaryota; Metazoa; Chordata; Mammalia; Rodentia; Muridae
Source: RNAcentral